Molecule: ribosomal RNA, 305 nt
Filed under: uncultured bacterium
Lineage: Bacteria
Description: bacterial SSU rRNA
Rfam family: Bacterial small subunit ribosomal RNA
Source: RNAcentral
GUCACCUACGGGAGGCAGCAGUGGGGAAUAUUGGGCAAUGGGCGCAAGCCUGACCCAGCAACGCCGCGUGAAGGAAGAAGGCCCUCGGGUUGUAAACUUCUUUUGUCAGGGACGAAGAAAGUGACGGUACCUGACGAAUAAGCCACGGCUAACUACGUGCCAGCAGCCGCGGUAAUACGUAGGUGGCAAGCGUUAUCCGGAUUUACUGGGUGUAAAGGGCGUGUAGGCGGGGUUGCAAGUCAGAUGUGAAAUUCCAGGGCUCAACCCUGUAACUGCCUUUGAAACUGUAGUUCUUGAGUGAUGGG